GGCCUGGUAGCUCAGUUGGUGAGAGCGUCGGCCUUCGACCGAGAGGUCGGGGGUUCGAAUCCGGGUACCU
Molecule: non-coding RNA, 70 nt
Organism: Quaeritorhiza haematococci
Lineage: Eukaryota; Fungi; Chytridiomycota; Chytridiomycetes; Quaeritorhizaceae
Source: the annotation of a GenBank genome assembly